ACGCUCGACACCUACGGGGGGCAGCAGUGGGGAAUAUUGCACAAUGGGGGAAACCCUGAUGCAGCGACGCCGCGUGAGUGAAGAAGUAUUUCGGUAUGUAAAGCUCUAUCAGCAGGGAAGAAAUGACGGUACCUGAGUAAGAAGCCCCGGCUAACUACGUGCCAGCAGCCGCGGUAAUCUGAGCGGGCUGGCAAGGC
This 197-nucleotide ribosomal RNA is filed under the name uncultured bacterium. Its description in RNAcentral is "partial 16S ribosomal RNA". It matches the Rfam family "Bacterial small subunit ribosomal RNA", at positions 328 to 539 of the family's 1533-position model. The record is from RNAcentral.